UACGUAGGGGGCAAGCGUUGUCCGGAAUCAUUGGGCGUAAAGCGCGCGUAGGCGGCCCGGUAAGUCCGCUGUAAAAGUCCAGGGCUCAACCCUGGAAAGCCGGUGGAUACUGUCGGGCUAGAGUCCGGAAGAGGCGAGUGGAAUUCCUGGUGUAGCGGUGGAAUGCGCAGAUAUCAGGAGGAACACUGAUGGCGAAGGCAGCUCGCUGGGACGGUACUGACGCUGAGGCGCGAAAGCCAGGGGAGCGAACGGG
Molecule: ribosomal RNA, 253 nt
Filed under: uncultured bacterium
Lineage: Bacteria
Description: partial 16S ribosomal RNA
Rfam family: Bacterial small subunit ribosomal RNA
Source: RNAcentral